This is a non-coding RNA of Rattus norvegicus (Norway rat), 69 nucleotides long. The record is from Rfam. NCBI's taxonomy places the organism in Eukaryota, Metazoa, Chordata, Mammalia, Rodentia, Muridae.
GGGGAUUUAGCUCAGUGGUAGAGCACUUGCCUAGCAAUCACAAGGCCCUGGGUUCGAUCCUCAGCUCCA